GUGGGGAAUAUUGGACAAUGGGCGCAAGCCUGAUCCAGCCAUGCCGCGUGAGUGAUGAAGGCCUUAGGGUUGUAAAGCUCUUUCGUCAGGGAAGAUAAUGACUGUACCUGAAGAAGAAGCCCCGGCUAACUUCGUGCCAGCAGCCGCGGUAAUACGAAGGGGGCUAGCGUUGCUCGGAAUCACUGGGCGUAAAGCGCGCGUAGGCGGCUUUCUAAGUCAGGGGUGAAAUCCUGGAGCUCAACUCCAGAACUGCCUUUGAUACUGGAGAGCUUGAGUUCGGGAGAGGUGAGUGGAACUGCGAGUGUAGAGGUGAAAUUCGUAGAUAUUCGCAAGAACACCAGUGGCGAAGGCGGCUCACUGGCCCGAUACUGACGCUGAGGUGCGAAAGCGUGGGGAGCAAACAGGAUUAGAAACCCGAGUAGUCC
This 425-nucleotide ribosomal RNA is filed under the name uncultured bacterium. RNAcentral's name for it is "partial 16S ribosomal RNA". It matches the Rfam family "Bacterial small subunit ribosomal RNA", at positions 354 to 796 of the family's 1533-position model. The record is from RNAcentral.